Molecule: ribosomal RNA, 580 nt
Filed under: uncultured rumen bacterium
Lineage: Bacteria
Description: bacterial SSU rRNA
Rfam family: Bacterial small subunit ribosomal RNA
Source: RNAcentral
UCCGUUGAUGGCAUCUGAAAUGGAGCAAAGGUUUACCGCUAAGGGAUGGGGAUGCGUCUGAUUAGGUAGUCGGCGGGGUAACGGCCCACCGAGCCGACGAUCAGUAGGGGUUCUGAGAGGAAGGUCCCCCACAUUGGAACUGAGACACGGUCCAAACUCCUACGGGAGGCAGCAGUGAGGAAUAUUGGUCAAUGGGCGAGAGCCUGAACCAGCCAAGUAGCGUGCAGGAUGACGGCCCUAUGGGUUGUAAACUGCUUUUGCAUGGGAAUAAAGUGCGGGACGCGUCCCGUUUUGUAUGUACCAUGAGAAUAAGGACCGGCUAAUUCCGUGCCAGCAGCCGCGGUAAUACGGAAGGUCCGGGCGUUAUCCGGAUUUAUUGGGUUUAAAGGGAGCGCAGGCUGGAGAUUAAGCGUGACGUGAAAUGCCGCGGCUCAACCGUGGAAGUGCGUCGCGAACUGGUUUCCUUGAGUGUAUUCGACGUCAGCGGAAUUCGUGGUGUAGCGGUGAAAUGCUUAGAUAUCACGAAGAACUCCGAUUGCGAAGGCAGCUGGCGAGGCUAUAACUGACGCUAAAGCUCGAA